CCUACGGGGCGCAGCAGUGGGGAAUAUUGGGCAAUGGAGGAAACUCUGACCCAGCAACGCCGCGUGAAUGAUGAAGGUCUUCGGAUUGUAAAGUUCUUUUCUAAGGGAAGAAGAAAGUGACGGUACCUUAGGAAUAAGCCUCGGCUAACUACGUGCCAGCAGCCGCGGUAAUACGUAGGAGGCAAGCGUUAUCCGGAAUGACUGGGCGUAAAGGGUGCGUAGGUGGUUUGACAAGUUGGUAGCGUAACUCCGGGGCUCAACCUCGGCACUACUACCAAAACUGUUGGACUUGAGUGCAGGAGGGG
Molecule: ribosomal RNA, 305 nt
Filed under: uncultured bacterium
Lineage: Bacteria
Description: bacterial SSU rRNA
Rfam family: Bacterial small subunit ribosomal RNA
Source: RNAcentral